AGUGAACGCUGGCGGUAGGCCUAACACAUGCAAGUCGAACGGCAGCACAGUAAGAGCUUGCUCUUACGGGUGGCGAGUGGCGGACGGGUGAGGAAUACAUCGGAAUCUACUUUUUCGUGGGGGUUAACGUAGGGAAACUUACGCUAAUACCGCAUACGACCUACGGGUGAAAGCAGGGGAUCUUCGGACCUUGCGCGAUUGAAUGAGCCGAUGUCGGAUUAGCUAGUUGGCGGGGUAAAGGCCCACCAAGGCGACGAUCCGUAGCUGGUCUGAGAGGAUGGUCAGCCACACUGGAAGUGAGACACGGUCCAGACUCCUACGGGAGGCAGCAGUGGGGAAUAUUGGACAAUGGGCGCAAGCCUGAUCCAGCCAUACCGCGUGGGUGAAGAAGGCCUUCGGGUUGUAAAGCCCUUUUGUUGGGAAAGAAAAGCAGCAGGUUAAUACCCCGCUGUUCUGACGGUACCCAAAGAAUAAGCACCGGCUAACUUCGUG
Molecule: ribosomal RNA, 492 nt
Filed under: uncultured bacterium
Lineage: Bacteria
Description: partial 16S ribosomal RNA
Rfam family: Bacterial small subunit ribosomal RNA
Source: RNAcentral